CGUAGGGGGCAAGCGUUGUCCGGAAUCAUUGGGCGUAAAGAGCGUGUAGGCGGCCCGGUAAGUCCGCUGUGAAAGUCCAGGGCUCAACCCUGGAAUGCCGGUGGAUACUGUCGGGCUCGAGUCCGGAAGAGGUGAGUGGAAUUCCUGGUGUAGCGGUGAAAUGCGCAGAUAUCAGGAGGAACACCAAUGGCGAAGGCAGCUCACUGGGACGGUACUGACGCUGAGACGCGAAAGCGUGGGGAGCAAACAGGAUUAGAUACCCUGGUAGUCCACGCCGUAAACGAUGGUCACUAGGUGUGGGGGGUGUCGACUCCCUCCGUGCCGGAGCUAACGCAUUAAGUGACCCGCCUGGGGAGUACGGCCGCAAGGCUA
RNAcentral lists this ribosomal RNA (372 nucleotides) under uncultured organism. Its description in RNAcentral is "bacterial SSU rRNA". It matches the Rfam family "Bacterial small subunit ribosomal RNA", at positions 526 to 896 of the family's 1533-position model. The record is from RNAcentral.